GAUGAACGCUCGCUACAGGCUUAACACAUGCAAGUCGAGGGGAAACGACAUCGAAAGCUUGCUUUUGAUGGGCGUCGACCGGCGCACGGGUGAGUAACGCGUAUCCAACCUGCCCAUCACUUGGGAAUAACCUUGCGAAAGUAAGACUAAUACCCAAUGAUAUCCCACGAAGGCAUCGGAAUGGGAUUAAAGAUUUAUCGGUGAUGGAUGGGGAUGCGUCUGAUUAGCUUGUUGGCGGGGUAACGGCCCACCAAGGCAACGAUCAGUAGGGGUUCUGAGAGGAAGGUCCCCCACAUUGGAACUGAGACACGGUCCAAACUCCUACGGGAGGCAGCAGUGAGGAAUAUUGGGCAAUGGGCGAGAGCCUGAACCAGCCAAGUAGCGUGCAGGAAGACGGCCCUAUGGGUUGUAAACUGCUUUUAUAAGGGAAUAAAGUGGGUCACGUGUGACUUUUUGCAUGUACCUUAUGAAUAAGGACCGGCUAAUUCCGUG
RNAcentral lists this ribosomal RNA (492 nucleotides) under uncultured bacterium. RNAcentral describes it as "partial 16S ribosomal RNA". It matches the Rfam family "Bacterial small subunit ribosomal RNA", at positions 28 to 507 of the family's 1533-position model. The record is from RNAcentral.